RNAcentral lists this ribosomal RNA (303 nucleotides) under uncultured bacterium. Its description in RNAcentral is "bacterial SSU rRNA". It matches the Rfam family "Bacterial small subunit ribosomal RNA", at positions 774 to 1073 of the family's 1533-position model. The record is from RNAcentral.
AGAAAAUAGAUACCCCGGUAGUCCACGCCGUAAACGAUGGAUGCUAGAUGUUGGGGGUAUUGACCCCUCCGGCGUCGCAGCAAACGCAUUAAGCAUCCCGCCUGGGGAGUACGGCCGCAAGGCUAAAACUCAAAGGAAUUGACGGGGGCCCGCACAAGCGGUGGAGCAUGUGGUUUAAAUUCGACGCAACGCGAAGAACCUUACCUGGGUUAAAUCCGCCGGAACCUGCCAGAGAUGGUGGGGUGUCCUCGGUAAGUACGGUGAGAAGGUGCUGCAUGCUGUCGUCAGCUCGUGUCGUGAGAU